AUACAGCGCCAUCUCUGAAACAUUGCAUGUACUACAAACCAAUAUUUUAAGUAGAUGGCGCCGGUGCGUGACACAUUGUUUGACAGCUACUUAUUGUUUUCUUCUCAGUUAAUUUCAUGUGACAAACCGGUGUGAAAUUGUGAAAAAAAAGUAAAAAUAAUAAGUUAUUCGUUUCUUAACAUUUUAAUUGGAAACCAUCAAAUCAAUCACGUGUAUUGUGUACAUUUUUAUUCAAUUUCAACAGCAGUUAAAAAUGCCUAGAGGACGACGUGCGAACAUCGGCCGCCGCACAAGACAUGCAAGUCAGCAACAAGUGUAUUCACAGAACUUAAGUGAAGAAAGACAAAAUAUAAUAAGAGAUAAUGCCCGAUUGAGACAACGCGUGAGCACACGAAGAUCAUUGGCAUCAUACAAUCGCUUGGCAUUCCAAUAUGAUCCCACUGCGAACUACAGUGAUGAUGAAAAUUUAAAUAUUGGACCAAUGACGACUGUAUGCCGAUAUUCCAAUGCGUUAAAGUUCAAAAGAGAAACGGCUGGAUUGUGCUGCGCAAGUGGAAAAGUCAAACUGGAUCCAUUACUUACACCACCACAGCCACUGAAACCAUUGUUCGAUGGAAGUGAUCCCGAUUCCAGCCAUUUUCUUCAACACAUCCUUGAUUACAAUAAAUGACGAAAUCAGCAACUUCCAAAUGGGCAAAUACGUCAGUACUAAUGAAGCACUGUGGCGAUUAUUUUCAUUUCUAAUUCAUGAAAGAUAUCCCACAGUUGUACAUUUAGCAGUGCAUUUGGAAAAUGGCCAAAGAGUUUACUUCACUGAAGCUAAUGCAGCACAACGAGCUGAGAGACCACCAUCGACAACAUUGACUAGCUUCUUUGCAAUGUGUGAAGCAAAUCCAUUCGCAGCGACGCUGAUGUACGUUGAAAUGCCCAAGUAUUACACUUGGAAUCAAUCAACAAAGAAAUUCCAACGUCGCAAACAAGGAACCCCAGUUCCAGAUUGGCCACAGGUGUUUUCCACUGAUGCACUAGGUCGCAUGUAUACUGUUCAUCCUAGAAAUGAUGAAUGUUUUUAUUUGCGACUGCUGUUGGUAAAUGUACGUGGACCAAAAUCAUUUGCGCAUUUGAAAACUGUGAAUGGCCACCAAUGCCAAACAUAUCGAGAAGCAUGUCAACAAUUGGGUUUGCUAGAGAACGAUUCUCAUUGGGAUUUAACACUUGCGGAUUCAGUU
Molecule: long non-coding RNA, 1229 nt
Organism: Danaus plexippus (monarch butterfly)
Lineage: Eukaryota; Metazoa; Arthropoda; Insecta; Lepidoptera; Nymphalidae
Exons: 2
Source: RefSeq, a predicted model, not a curated record